AUUGAACGCUGGCGGCAGGCCUAACACAUGCAAGUCGAACGGUAACAGAGUAAAACUUUCCUCUUAGCUGAGGCGUGGCGCAGGCGUGUGUGAUGUCCAUGGAAAUCUACUAUGGCGGGGGGUAACUCGUGGGAACGGUUACUCUAAUACCGUAUACUCCCUACGGCAGAGAGCAGGGCCUUUGCGGCCCUUGCGCUCUUGUAUGCGCAGAUGUGGGAUUAGCUAGUUGGGGGGGUAAGGGCCCACCAAGGCGACGAUCCGUAGCUGGUCUGAGAGGAUGAUCAGCCACACUGGAACUGAGACACGGUCCAGACUCCUACGGGAGGCAGCAGUGGGGAAUAUUGGACAAUGGGCGCAAGCCUGAUGCAGCCAUGCCGCGUGUAUGAAGAAGGCCUUCGGGUUGUAAAGCACUUUUGUUGGGGAAGAAAAGAGGAAGGUUAAUACCUUGGCUUAUUGACGGUACCCGCAGAAGAAGCACCGGCUAACUUCGUG
Molecule: ribosomal RNA, 492 nt
Filed under: uncultured bacterium
Lineage: Bacteria
Description: partial 16S ribosomal RNA
Rfam family: Bacterial small subunit ribosomal RNA
Source: RNAcentral